GGUGAUGGCGUGCCUUUUGGAGAAUGAUCCUGCGAGUUACGUUAAACGGCGAGGUUAAGUAUAACGGAGCCGAAGGGAAACCAAGUCUUAAUAGGGCGAUUUAGUCGUUUGGCGUAGACGCGAAACCUGGUGAUCUAAACCUGUCCAGGAUGAAGCUGUGGUAAGACACAGUGGAGGUCCUAACCCACCGCCGUUGAAAAGUUGGGGGAUGAGGUAGGUUUAGGGGUGAAAAGCCAAUCGAACCAGGAGAUAGCUCGUUCUCUCCGAAAUGCAUCUAGGUGCAGCCUUGAGUGUUCAAUUAUGGGGGUAGAGCACUGAAUGAUCUAGGGGGCGUAUUGCUUACUGAAAUCAAUCAAACUCCGAAUACCAUAAUUUAGAGCUCAGGAGUGAGACUAUGGGAGUUAACUUCCAUUGUCGAAAGGGAAACAACCCAGACCACCAGCUAAGGUCCCUAAUUAUAACUAAGUGGGAAAGGAGGUGGAGAUUCACAAACAACUAGGAGGUUGGCUUAGAAGCAGCCAUACCUUUAAAGAGUGCGUAAUAGCUCACUAGUCGAGAGUCUCUGCGCCGACAAUGUAACGGGGCUAAGUUAUAAACCGAAGCUGUGGAAUCCGUAAGGAUUGGUAGGAGAGCGUUCUGUAGGCCGUUGAAGGAGAAGGGUAACCGACUCUGGAGGUAUCAGAAGUGAGAAUGCAGGAAUAAGUAGCGAGAAAGGGGGCGAGAAUCCCCCUCGCCGGAAGACCAAGGUUUUCAGGGUAAAGCUUGUCUUCCCUGAGUAAGCCGAAACCGACACAGGUGGUCAGGAUGAGAAAUCUAAGGCGGACAGGCUAACUCUCGUUAAGGAACUCUGCAAAAUAACCUCGUAACUUCGGGAGAAGAGGAGCCCUUGAGGGUCAGUAUCCACGCGAUACAAAGCACUCGAGGGUCGCAGUGAAGAGGCUCAAGCAACUGUUUAACAAAAACACAGGUCUAUGCUAAGCUGGAAGGCGAUGUAUAUGGGCUGACACCUGCCCAGUGCUGGAAGGUUAAGAGGAGGAGUGAGAGCUCCGAAUUGAAGCCCCAGUGAACGGCGGCCGUAACUAUAACGGUCCUAAGGUAGCGAAAUUCCUUGUCGGGUAAGUUCCGACCUGCACGAAUGGUGUAAUGAUUUGAGCGCUGUCUUGACGGGAGGCCUGGUGAAAUUGUAUUACCGGUGAAGAUACCGGUUACCUACAGUAGGACGGAAAGACCCCAUGGAGCUUUACUGUAGCUUGGUAUUGGGUUUUGGCAUUGCAUGUAUAGGAUAGUUGGGAGACUGAGAUGAUAUGGCGCUAGCUGUAUCGGAGUCAUCGGUGGAAUACCAACCAUUCAAUGCUGAAAUUCUAAUCUGUGGUUUGUAGCCACGGAGACAGUGCUAGGUGGGCAGUUUGACUGGGGCGGUCGCCUCCGAAAGAGUAACGGAGGCGUUCAAAGGUUCUCUCAGGUUGGAUGGAAAUCAACCAUAGAGUGCAAUGGCAUAAGAGAGCUUGACUGCAAGACUGACGGGUCGAGCAGAUGCGAAAGCAGGACAUAGUGAUCCGGCGAUUCCGAAUGGAAGGGUCGUCGCUCAACGGAUAAAAGCUACCCUGGGGAUAACAGGCUGAUCCUACCCGAGAGUCCAUAUCGACGGUAGGGUUUGGCACCUCGAUGUCGGCUCAUCGCAUCCUGGGGCUGGAGAAGGUCCCAAGGGUUGGGCUGUUCGCCCAUUAAAGCGGUACGUGAGCUGGGUUCAGAACGUCGUGAGACAGUUCGGUCCCUAUCCACUGUAGGCGUUAGAAUAUUGAGAAGACCUGUCCUUAGUACGAGAGGACCGGGAUGGACAAACCUCUGAUGUACCAGUUGUCACGCCAGUGGCACAGCUGGGUAGUCACGUUUGGAAUAGA
Molecule: ribosomal RNA, 1901 nt
Filed under: human oral metagenome
Description: bacterial LSU rRNA
Rfam family: Bacterial large subunit ribosomal RNA
Source: RNAcentral